This 223-nucleotide ribosomal RNA is filed under the name Halomonas mongoliensis. RNAcentral's name for it is "partial 16S ribosomal RNA". It matches the Rfam family "Bacterial small subunit ribosomal RNA", at positions 1 to 222 of the family's 1533-position model. The record is from RNAcentral. Lineage: Bacteria; Pseudomonadati; Pseudomonadota; Gammaproteobacteria; Oceanospirillales; Halomonadaceae.
AAACUGAAGAGUUUGAUCAUGGCUCAGAUUGAACGCUGGCGGCAGGCCUAACACAUGCAAGUCGAGCGGAAACGAUGGAAGCUUGCUUCCAGGCGUCGAGCGGCGGACGGGUGAGUAAUGCAUGGGAAUCUGCCCGAUAGUGGGGGAUAACCUGGGGAAACCCAGGCUAAUACCGCAUACGUCCUACGGGAGAAAGCAGGGGAUCUUCGGACCUUGCGCUAUC